CGUAUGUGGUGGCAUUCAGCAUUGAUUGAUGACGAUAGGUUUCUUGGCACAACACCUGUUAAAUACGUUUAAUUAUGCUUGGCAAAUUACACGACACCAGAAGAUCUUACGUUUGGCAUUGGUAUUGGUUGUUUAGAGCAAAAGAGAAAACAACUGUAAAUUAAGAACAAAAUAAAUUUCAAAUAAAAUUGGUUACUAACAAAGGGAUCAAGCCACGACUCGCCCAUAUGGAGACACAACCACGAAAGGUGGUUAGGUGACUACUGGAAUUGCGAUCAAAGUAAUGCUUGGCUCCUUGGUGAUAGUGGAUAGUUAGAGCUGUAGUUAGUGACGUUGCACAGAAGACCAGUCAAUGCAAUUAAAGAGAAAUAUAGUGAUAUUCACUGUAAGGCAAGUAGCGUCAUUGAAAAGUGCAUUAGUUUAAAUAAAGCUUAGUACUACUUACUGCCAUUAUUAUUCAAAAGUCUAUAUUCAGCAUUUUUAUUUUUCAGGGUCGCUGGCGCAUUUUGAUGGAGAAGCGCAAAAGUAAAAUGCCAGAAAAAUGAUAAGAUUCGCAAAAGUUUGUUCGCUUGUAGUAUUUGCGUACAUUAUAAAGUACAUUUGGAAAGCAAAGGUUUUGAUUUUUCAUCGUCCGGAUAUGUGGACUUUAAUUAAGUGCAGAUAUAUACUCCAGGGGAUUAUUGUUCUAAGCUGAAAAUUACUUGAAAAUUUACUAUAUUAUCCAAGAUAAAAAUUAAGGUUAACAUUAAUUUACUUUUAUUGAUUCUGAAUUAUAUCCAAUACUGAAAGAUAUUAAAAAUGGUAUACUUUUCUCUAGGUAAAUUCCAUCGGAUGUUGGUAAGUUCUUAUUAUUAAUUUUAUUCCAUGCACUCGUUUCAUAUGGCUUCUCAAGUGAACACUCAGGGAACACUAAAUCUUUUGUGGCAUAUUGCAUUCUGUAUAUACUUUUCAUAUAUCUUUGAAGAGGUCGACACUUAAAUUGAAUGCUAGGGUACAAAAUGUAUAUACAUUGCUUGUGGAUAGUAUUGAUACAUAUAUUGCAUGAGUUUUGGUAUUAGAUUAGAUAAUUUAUUUUUACAACCUCAUAAUCUGGAGAGAGGGGAAAAUACUGUUACUACCAAAGAGACGCGUCGCAUAAUGCCAGACGACUUCUAAUAUUCUGCAAAGGGCCGGAUUUAUUAGUUUCUGGAGAUAAACCCAAGAAUGUUGGUUCUUCUAAUAUAUUGCGAUCUCCUCAUUCAAAUUUUUUUAUUAUUCACGAACUUAAUUUGCCUUCAGGCAAUUCUUCUUGCAGUUCUUGUCCGGCUUUUCAUUGUAUGAAAUUUUUUAAACACUCUGGAUAUGGAUACUUCAAAUUACUAUUCGCAAUCUUUGAUUUUUUAUAAGAAUCAUAGAAAAACUUUAAAUCCUCAAAAUAGCCCCAACACAUAGAAGAGACCCCUGCAUCAUCUAGUUCUAAAAGAUCAGUCUUAAAAUAACAUAAUUUAUAAUAUGUAUAUGUAUCAAAUACCUAUUUAAUACACUUACCUUUCUGUAAAUAUUUCCAUUUAUUCUACGAUCGUUAGAUUUAAGUGGUUCUCUCAGACCGGCUUCGUCGCUUUUUUUACUUUGCAAUCAUACAAAUCUACGCCUCCUUUU
Molecule: long non-coding RNA, 1638 nt
Organism: Glossina fuscipes
Lineage: Eukaryota; Metazoa; Arthropoda; Insecta; Diptera; Glossinidae
Exons: 3
Source: RefSeq, a predicted model, not a curated record